GCUGGGUGUGGUGGUGUGUGCCUGUGGUCCCAGUCACUAGGGAGGCUGAGGUGGGAGGAUUGCUUGAGCCUAGGAGGUCAAGGCUGCAGUGAGCUAUUGUGGUGUCACUGCACUCCAGCCUGGGCAAUAGAGCAAGACCCCAUCUCAA
This is an unclassified non-coding RNA of Macaca fascicularis (crab-eating macaque), 148 nucleotides long. It matches the Rfam family "Metazoan signal recognition particle RNA". From Rfam's summary of the family: The signal recognition particle (SRP) is a universally conserved ribonucleoprotein. NCBI's taxonomy places the organism in Eukaryota, Metazoa, Chordata, Mammalia, Primates, Cercopithecidae. The record is from Ensembl.